CACGGGGGGAGCAAGCGUUGUUCGGAAUCACUGGGCGUAAAGGGCGUGUAGGCGGUCAGGUAAGUGAGAUGGGAAAUGCCCCGGCUCACCCGGGGACCGGCAUCUCAUACUGCUUGGCUUGAGUACGGGAGAGGAUGUGGGAAUUCCUGGUGUAGCGGUGAAAUGCGUAGAUAUCAGGAGGAACACCGGUGGCGAAGGCGCUGCUCUGGGCCGGUACUGACGCUGAGGAGCGAAAGCGUGGGUAGCAAACAGG
This 253-nucleotide ribosomal RNA is filed under the name uncultured bacterium. RNAcentral describes it as "partial 16S ribosomal RNA". It matches the Rfam family "Bacterial small subunit ribosomal RNA", at positions 524 to 776 of the family's 1533-position model. The record is from RNAcentral.